CUCCAUGACACCCCUACCCCACGCCUGCCCUUGACCCGUCCCCACGCGGGGACGCAGAGCCUGUGUGACAGCUCCUCCAGGGCACGGCCCUUGCUAAGCCACUCCAUCCAGGGCCGUUCCUUCAUCACCCCAAGGGCCCUGCGUCUCCCACGGCUCUGGGGUCCUCCCUCCUUACACACACCUCCCAGACUGGCAAUUCCACCGGGAGCCAGGAGAAGCAGCGACUUCAAGGACGCUCCUCAGCGUGGAACGAGAGGCAAUGUCACCCUUGGAGAGGAGUGGAGCUCUCAGCCUGCUGGCCAGGACGCCGUAUCCGUCCCUCCAGGAAAGACCCGGGUUUCCACGGGCUGAGUGUGUAUGUGCACGCGUGUCACCUGCGUGUCUGGUCAUCGCCUUCUGGGCGGUGUCCUGCUCCAGGUAUGGGUGCCCUUUCCUACCUGCCUGGACCCCCACUGUCGGUGUUCCUGGGUCUCUCAGACCCACACCACAACCCCCAUUGCAGGUGAUCUUCUGAACUUCCUUGUGUUCCAAAGGGAAACCCCGCCUUCUGUACAAGCCCCUGCGUCCCGGGGUGUUUUCAUCCAUCCAACGGGAUAGCGGGCCAGUGCUGGUCCUUUCUUUUUCUCCCCGAGGGGUGGGAAGCAGGCAAGCCUUACAGCGUGGGAGGGGGUGCCGCUGACUCUUUCCUUGUCAUUGGCCAUUUGCUGCCUGCUUCACCAGGCGUGUUUUGAGCAUGUUUGCAUAAAGUGGAUGCAGGCUGCAAUUCCGUGAUGAAUUCUAUGAAUACUAAUCCGCUACUACCCUUGACCUUGGGGUCACCGAAAGAUCAAAACCAAACCAUUUAAUAUUUUCCUUUUGCAGAUCAAUAGAAGCAUAAAUUCCCCCUCAAUGACAAGUAUAAUUUCAAACAGAUCUAUAGAAGGCAUGCGUGCAUUUCCAGCCCCAGACACUAGCUGCCUGCCUGGCCUUUUGGGGAGCAGACGAGGAGCUUCUUGCCUUUUCUACCGUUGAAUUUCUUUUUGCCUUUUUUUAUGGCUCUGAAAUGCUAUUUUCAGCAGCUGCUGUCAUAUAAAUAUCUCUUGUUUUUCUUCUCCUCUUUCCCUCCUGGUGAAAAGGGCAGGGGACCUAUUGAAAAUUCUGCUUUAUCUCUUUCAGUCGGGUUCAAGUACAGGUCGAAUAAUCGAUCCCUCCUCCUUUUCUUUUUUAAGUUUCCUGUCGUUCUUUUGGCCGGAUCAGCAGCGGAGAGAAAUCAGGAGGGCAGCUCUCUUAUGCAGAUCCUCUCAGAGGUCUAUAUUGCUGGGUUUGUGUGCGCGUUUGCGCGUGCACAUGUGCGAGCUGCCAUUGGGUGUGCGUGGGGGGGCGGGUGAGUGCAUGAGUGUGUGUGUGUGUGUGUGUGUGUGUGUGUGUAUGUACCUUUGUGUACAUGACCAUAAAAGCUCAUGCUAGUUCAGACUCUCACCCAGAACUUGAGGAGGGAGGAAAUAGAAAAUCAUCAAAGAGAAAAAGUGGAGGGCUGGAGCAGGCAUUGUUAACCCCUGCAGCUCCCAGGCAGAGCCGGGUCGGGCCUGGGAAUGUCUCCCAGCUGGCUUGCCACGCGUGCGCCUCGUGAAAAAGAGCUUCUGAGUCAUUUUAUGAAUACAACUCCGAGAAGGGAGAAAAGAUGCAAAAAGAAGACGGGGCAAAAACCAGACCAAACCAAAACAAAACUGGAGGCGGAGGGGAAAAAAGCAAAAGAAAAGGAGAAUUAAACCAUUCAUCUGCCCAGAUUUUCCACUUCACAGAGUAAUCAGUUUGGAAGUGACUGAAAUAAAGUGGAAGCCACGACUGCCACCACCUCCUCUCUCCAGUCCACGUUUCUUAUUUACAGAAAAAUGGGGAGUCAGGAAGGCAGCCUCCCUGCCCCCCCCACAAAGGCCCCCAGUGUCCCGCUCCAGAGAGGGACGAGGACCCCAGCCCUCAGCCGCAGCUGCCCGGUGCCGUGACACCCGGGCAACGGCUGCCCUGAGCUGGAGGUGCAAAGCCAAGAUGAUUUAAUUUAUAGAAAGGACAAGGAUGUCGUGUAGCAGAUUUAAUCAUCGGAGAGUUUAAAAAAAAAUAAGGACCGGGCUAAUGUCGUAAUUUACAUUUCAGGAUAAUAAAGAGAGAAAGGCAGAAAAGGAAGGGCCCGUAAGCCUGCAAGAAGCAGUCAGGAGGGGAGGCCAACCAGGGGGCUGAGGGAGCCCAAUAGAUUUGCCUGAAACACCAAUAAAUUUAAAAACAAACCCAGAAAGCUAAAGACAGCCCCUGGAAAGUGCUGGGAAAAUGGACCAUCGAUUUUAGACUUGAUCUGCAUUUUGUAUUUUAAUAAUGCUCUCUCUGUCUUUCCUUUUCUCUCUCUCCCUCUCUCCCUCUCUCGCUCUCUCUCUCUUUUGCAAAAUAUAAAAGCUGAUCUGAUAAAUAUUAAUUUGAACCA
Balaenoptera ricei (Rice's whale) is the source of this 2452-nucleotide long non-coding RNA. RefSeq lists it as uncharacterized. The transcript is spliced from 3 exons. The record is from RefSeq and is a predicted model, not a curated record. NCBI's taxonomy places the organism in Eukaryota, Metazoa, Chordata, Mammalia, Artiodactyla, Balaenopteridae.